AAUGGGAUAAUUGGGUCAUAUGGUAAUUCCAUUCCAAAUUUUCUAAGGACUCUCCAUACUGCUUUCCAUAGUAGUUGUACCAAUUUACAGUCCCACUAGCAAU
This 103-nucleotide microRNA precursor is filed under the name Marmota monax (woodchuck). Lineage: Eukaryota; Metazoa; Chordata; Mammalia; Rodentia; Sciuridae. The record is from RNAcentral.